Molecule: long non-coding RNA, 402 nt
Filed under: Marmota monax (woodchuck)
Lineage: Eukaryota; Metazoa; Chordata; Mammalia; Rodentia; Sciuridae
Source: RNAcentral
CUACUUGAUUCCCAUUGACAUGCAAAAAACAAAAAAGGGGGACUUGCUGAUAGCAGGCCCACCCUGGCCCCUGGGGACUCAACCCCCAGUUCUUUGUUAUGCAUGUCAAUGUGGCCAGCUCACAAGGCCAUGACGCGGGCUUGCAGUUCCCUGUUUAUCUGCCUCGCACAUAUGUGUCUCGGGAACAUCUUGACCUGUUCGAGCCUCCUGAUAGGGGACGGUGAUGUGACGGUAACCCAAGGACGCAGUUAUUACUCUUCCCUCCUCACUUUUGAGUAAUUUCCCGCAGCUGUUAAAAAGAUAUAUAAAGGGAACAAAUCUGGCAAUAAAGCGCGCACACGCUCCCUCCUGGAUGAAGAACCUUGGUGUUCUGUGUAUUUUUAACCCCGCCGUCCCUCGCCG